GAGUUACAGAACUCUAAGAAAAGGGUCAUGGAAAAAAAAUCCUUCAUAGAGGUUCUAAUUUACUAGCCACGCCUGACUUCAGUGGCCUAACAUUGCAAGCCUGAGAAAACUAACAUCAG
RNAcentral lists this long non-coding RNA (119 nucleotides) under Struthio camelus australis. RNAcentral describes it as "lncRNA (ENSSCUG00000016335.1)". The record is from RNAcentral. Lineage: Eukaryota; Metazoa; Chordata; Aves; Struthioniformes; Struthionidae.